RNAcentral lists this long non-coding RNA (244 nucleotides) under Ananas comosus (pineapple). Its description in RNAcentral is "long non-coding RNA (ACOM_LNC003939)". Lineage: Eukaryota; Viridiplantae; Streptophyta; Magnoliopsida; Poales; Bromeliaceae. The record is from RNAcentral.
CAGGAAGAAUCAAAUCAUCCAAUAAAAGUCAUUCUUUCUUUUUUUUUGAGAGAAAGAUAGCAUGUUACCCGUUUCGUUUAUUUCAUUUAGAAAUAAACUUAGCUGGAAAUGUGAAUCAACUAGAAUUUGAACUUAGGUCUCGAGUACCAACCACCAAGCCUUUUUGCCACUUGCGAUAGGGACGGUCGGUACUAAAAGUUAUUCUUGAUAGUGAAAAUUAUUUCUUUUGGGCUCAACAAAUAAG